GAUGAACGCUGGCGGCGUGCUUAACACAUGCAAGUCGAACGAAGCACUUUAUUACAAUUUCUUCGGAAUGACGAUUUAGUGACUGAGUGGCGGACGGGUGAGUAACGCGUGGGUAACCUGCCUUAUACAGGGGGAUAACAGUUAGAAAUGACUGCUAAUACCGCAUAAGCGCACAGGAUUGCAUGAUCUGGUGUGAAAAACUCCGGUGGUAUAAGAUGGACCCGCGUCUGAUUAGCUGGUUGGUGAGGUAACGGCCCACCAAGGCGACGAUCAGUAGCCGACCUGAGAGGGUGACCGGCCACAUUGGGACUGAGACACGGCCCAAACUCCUACGGGAGGCAGCAGUGGGGAAUAUUGCACAAUGGGGGAAACCCUGAUGCAGCGACGCCGCGUGAGCGAAGAAGUAUUUCGGUAUGUAAAGCUCUAUCAGCAGGGAAGAAAAAAAUGACGGUACCUGACUAAGAAGCCCCGGCUAACUACGUGCCAGCAGCCGCGGUAAUACGUAGGGGGCAAGCGUUAUCCGGAUUUACUGGGUGUAAAGGGAGCGCAGGCGGUGCGGCAAGUCUGAUGUGAAAGCCCGGGGCUCAACCCCGGGACUGCAUUGGAAACUGUCGUACUUGAGUAUCGGAGAGGUAAGUGGAAUUCCUAGUGUAGCGGUGAAAUGCGUAGAUAUUAGGAGGAACACCAGUGGCGAAGGCGGCUUACUGGACGAUAACUGACGCUGAGGCUCGAAAGGCGUGGGGAGCAAACAG
Molecule: ribosomal RNA, 752 nt
Filed under: uncultured bacterium
Lineage: Bacteria
Description: bacterial SSU rRNA
Rfam family: Bacterial small subunit ribosomal RNA
Source: RNAcentral